This 469-nucleotide ribosomal RNA is filed under the name uncultured bacterium. RNAcentral's name for it is "bacterial SSU rRNA". It matches the Rfam family "Bacterial small subunit ribosomal RNA", at positions 28 to 507 of the family's 1533-position model. The record is from RNAcentral.
GAUGAACGCUAGCGGCAGGCCUAAUACAUGCAAGUCGAACGGUGUAGCAAUACACAGUGGCGCACGGGUGCGUAACACGUAUGCAACCUACCUUACAUUGGGGGAUAGCCUUUCGAAAGGGAGAUUAAUACCGCAUAAGACAGUAACUAGGCAUCUAGUAGCUGUUAAAGAUUUAUCGAUGUAAGCUGGGCAUGCGUCCAAUUAGUUAGUUGGCGAGGUAAUGGCUCACCAAGACGAUGAUUGGUAGGGGAACUGAGAGGUCAAUCCCCCACACUGGCACUGAGAUACGGGCCAGACUCCUACGGGAGGCAGCAGUAGGGAAUAUUGGGCAAUGGGCGCAAGCCUGACCCAGCCAUGCCGCGUGCAGGAAGAAGGCGUUAUGCGUUGUAAACUGCUUUUAUACAGGAAGAAACGACCCUUGCGAGGGGCAUUGACGGUACUGUAUGAAUAAGCACCGGCUAACUCCGUG